RNAcentral lists this transfer RNA (72 nucleotides) under Bos taurus (domestic cattle). It matches the Rfam family "tRNA". From Rfam's summary of the family: Transfer RNA (tRNA) molecules are approximately 80 nucleotides in length. Their secondary structure includes four short double-helical elements and three loops (D, anti-codon, and T loops). RNAcentral also lists the same sequence under 3 other names. The record is from Rfam by way of RNAcentral. Lineage: Eukaryota; Metazoa; Chordata; Mammalia; Artiodactyla; Bovidae.
UCCCUGGUGGCUCUGACGGUAAAGAAUCUACCUGCAAUGGAGGAGACCCAGGUUCGAUCCCUGGUCAGGAAG